Molecule: ribosomal RNA, 253 nt
Filed under: uncultured bacterium
Lineage: Bacteria
Description: partial 16S ribosomal RNA
Rfam family: Bacterial small subunit ribosomal RNA
Source: RNAcentral
UACGUAGGGCGCAAGCGUUAUCCGGAAUUAUUGGGCGUAAAGGGCUCGUAGGCGGUUUGUCGCGUCGGGAGUGAAAACUCAGGGCUUAACCCUGAGCCUGCUUCCGAUACGGGCAGACUAGAGGUAUGCAGGGGAGAAUGGAAUUCCUGGUGUAGCGGUGAAAUGCGCAGAUAUCAGGAGGAACACCGAUGGCGAAGGCAGAUCUCUGGGCCGUAACUGACGCUGAGGAGCGAAAGCGUGGGGAGCGAACAGG